RNAcentral lists this ribosomal RNA (1451 nucleotides) under uncultured bacterium. RNAcentral's name for it is "bacterial SSU rRNA". It matches the Rfam family "Bacterial small subunit ribosomal RNA". The record is from RNAcentral.
GACGAACGCUGGCGGCGCGCCUAACACAUGCAAGUCGAACGGAAUUAUUUUGGUUGAAGUUUUCGGAUGGAUACCGAUUUAGUUUAGUGGCGAACGGGUGAGUAACGCGUGAGUAACCUGCCCUGGAGUGGGGGACAACAGUUGGAAACGACUGCUAAUACCGCAUAAGCCCACGAAGCCGCAUGGCUUUGGGGGAAAAGGAUUUUAUUCGCUUCAGGAUGGACUCGCGUCCAAUUAGCUAGUUGGUGAGGUAACGGCCCACCAAGGCGACGAUUGGUAGCCGGACUGAGAGGUUGAACGGCCACAUUGGGACUGAGACACGGCCCAGACUCCUACGGGAGGCAGCAGUGGGGGAUAUUGCACAAUGGGGGAAACCCUGAUGCAGCGACGCCGCGUGGAGGAAGAAGGUUUUCGGAUUGUAAACUCCUGUCGUUAGGGACGAACCAUGACGGUACCUAACAAGAAAGCACCGGCUAACUACGUGCCAGCAGCCGCGGUAAAACGUAGGGUGCAAGCGUUGUCCGGAAUUACUGGGUGUAAAGGGAGCGCAGGCGGACCGGCAAGUUGGAAGUGAAAACCAUGGGCUCAACCCAUGAACUGCUUUCAAAACUGUGUAUCUUGAGUAGUGCAGAGGUAGGCGGAAUUCCCGGUGUAGCGGUGGAAUGCGUAGAUAUCGGGAGGAACACCAGUGGCGAAGGCGGCCUACUGGGCAUCAACUGACGCUGAGGCUCGAAAGUGUGGGUAGCAAACAGGAUUAGAUACCCUGGUAGUCCACACCGUAAACGAUGAUUACUAGGUGUUGGAGGAUAGACCCCUUCAGUGCCGCAGUUAACACAAUAAGUAAUCCACCUGGGGAGUACGACCGCAAGGUUGAAACUCAAAGGAAUUGACGGGGGCCCGCACAAGCAGUGGAGUAUGUGGUUUAAUUCGACGCAACGCGAAGAACCUUACCAAGUCUUGACAUCCUCUGACGAUGCUGGAAACAGUAUUUUCCUUCGGGACAGAGAGACAGGUGGUGCAUGGUUGUCGUCAGCUCGUGUCGUGAGAUGUUGGGUUAAGUCCCGCAACGAGCGCAACCCUUAUGGAUAGUUACUACGCAAGAGGACUCUAUUCAGACUGCCGUUGACAAAACGGAGGAAGGUGGGGAUGACGUCAAAUCAUCAUGCCCUUUAUGACUUGGGCUACACACGUACUACAAUGGCGUUCAACAAAGAGAAGCGAAACCGCGAGGUGGAGCAAAACUCAAAAACAACGUCCCAGUUCAGAUUGCAGGCUGCAACUCGCCUGCAUGAAGUCGGAAUUGCUAGUAAUCGCAGAUCAGCAUGCUGCCGUGAAUACGUUCCCGGGUCUUGUACACACCGCCCGUCACACCAUGAGAGUUAGAAAUACCCGAAGCCUGUGAGCUAACAAUAAGAGGCAGCAGUCGAAGGUAGAGCUAAUGAUUGGGGUGA